UGCAGCAGCCAUAUCACCCUGCCAUUCACAAAUAGCAACCCACUGAAGCCAACCAGGUGGGAGCCUGGCUAGUACCUGGAUGGGAGACCUCCUGAGAAAAACUAAGGUAGCUGCUAGAA
This 119-nucleotide ribosomal RNA is filed under the name Lepisosteus oculatus (spotted gar). Lineage: Eukaryota; Metazoa; Chordata; Actinopteri; Semionotiformes; Lepisosteidae. The record is from RNAcentral.